Long non-coding RNA from Nematostella vectensis (starlet sea anemone), 325 nucleotides. RefSeq lists it as uncharacterized. Lineage: Eukaryota; Metazoa; Cnidaria; Anthozoa; Actiniaria; Edwardsiidae. The record is from RefSeq and is a predicted model, not a curated record. The transcript is spliced from 2 exons.
UGAGGGCAUGUUGAGGGCAUGUUGAGGGCAUGUUGAGGGCAUGUUGAGGGCAUGUUAGAAAAGAAAGAAGGUCAAUAUGCAGUCGAAAGAGGCAGAGCUCCUGAAAUUGUGUUUUGUACACAUCAGAAAUGCAACAAUUAUUGCAUUAUUUUAACUAAAAAUUAAGAAAAUGGAAGGAGUACAAAUGCCGAUGCUGUUUAGGAAAAAAAUAAAGAAUUAGUGUAUUGUUCAGAUUUUUUUUUGUAAAGAAAGAGAUGUUUUUAAUCCAUGAAUAUUGUCAUAUAUGUUGCAUUUGAACAAAAAAUAAAGGCAAACGUUGCAAAAA